RNAcentral lists this ribosomal RNA (253 nucleotides) under uncultured bacterium. RNAcentral describes it as "partial 16S ribosomal RNA". It matches the Rfam family "Bacterial small subunit ribosomal RNA", at positions 524 to 776 of the family's 1533-position model. The record is from RNAcentral.
GACGUAGGAUGCAAGCGUUGUCCGGAAUUAUUGGGCGUAAAGAGCUCGUAGGCGGCUUGUCGCGUCGGCUGUGAAAACCUGGGGCUCAACCCCGGGCCUGCAGCCGAUACGGGCAAGCUAGAAUUCGGUAGGGGAGACUGGAAUUCCUGGUGUAGCGGUGAAAUGCGCAGAUAUCAGGAGGAACACCGGUGGCGAAGGCGGGUCUCUGGGCCGAUACUGACGCUGAGGAGCGAAAGCGUGGGGAGCGAACAGG